CCUACGGGUGGCAGCAGUGGGGAAUAUUGCACAAUGGGGGAAACCCUGAUGCAGCGACGCCGCGUGAGUGAAGAAGUAUUUCGGUAUGUAAAGCUCUAUCAGCAGGGAAGAAAAAAGACGGUACCUGACUAAGAAGCCCCGGCUAACUACGUGCCAGCAGCCGCGGUAAUACGUAGGGGGCAAGCGUUAUCCGGAUUUACUGGGUGGAAAGGGCGCGUUGACGGUAUGGCAAGACUGAAGUGAAAGCCCAGGGCUUAACCCUGGGACUGCUUUGGAAACUGUUAGACUAGAGUGCUGGAGAGGUAAGUGGAAUUCCUAGUGUAGCGGUGAAAUGCGUAGAUAUUGGGAGGAACACCAGUGGCGAAGGCGGCUUACUGGACAGUAACUGACGUUGAGGCUCGAAAGCGUGGGGAGCGAACAGGAUUAGAUACCCCAGUAGUC
RNAcentral lists this ribosomal RNA (441 nucleotides) under uncultured bacterium. RNAcentral describes it as "partial 16S ribosomal RNA". It matches the Rfam family "Bacterial small subunit ribosomal RNA", at positions 338 to 795 of the family's 1533-position model. The record is from RNAcentral.